UCUCCCUCCCCCUUCGUGCGAUUCUCCCCACCGCCCAUUCUCUCUCUCUCUUUCUUUUUACUCUUUGACCGGUCAAUGCCUAUCUCUCUCUCUCUCUCUCUCUUCUCUUUCCUCCUCCCCCACGUGACCACUUUCUUCCUCUUUCUUCUCUCCUGUUCGUGCGAACAAAAACCAGAAGCUGAAGAAGCCGAGUAACAGCAGCUCGCCCCUCAGCCGUCGCCGCCCGUCCCGCCGCCGCACCGCACGUCCGCGCCCGUGCGCGCGCCGCUCGUCGCCGUGCACCGCCUGCCCUCUCCUCCGCCCAGACGCCCCUCCCCCGCGCGAGUCAGCCCCAUUCAGCCCCUGUUCAGCCCGGUUCCGCCCCGUCCGGCCAGCUCCGGCCACCGCCCAGCCCCGCCGGACUUCCCCGGCGUCCCCCUCGUCCUUCGCCGGCCUUCCCUCGCCGUUUUGGCCGCCGGAUCUGCUCCGACCAGCCAAGGGCAGAAACCCACGAAAUGGGUUUCCAGCUGGUUCGGGCCCGUUUUGGGCCGUUUCCCGGCCCCGAACCCGAGCCGUGCUUUGGGAAGAAUCGUCCCUCGCGUCGCCCCCGUCGGAUUGAUCCGAUUUGCGCGCGAUUUGGUGAGUAAUCUCACUAUUCCAGGAUUAGUGGCUAAUUUAUGCUUAAGGUUGGUUUAGAUUUAAUUAAUCAUGUUUAGGUUGUUAGAUUAGAUUAAAUUAGCAAUUAUUAGCCAAUUGUGAUGCGAAUUAGAUAAAUUGAAUGUGUAAUUAGCAAGUAGACAUGGUCUACUAAUUAUUGGAAGUGCCUCGGGAUUUUUCCCGACCCUUAGUGGGCUCCAAUUAGGCUUUUCGGGCCUAAGUGGAUUUUUUAGUAUUUAAUUAUUAAUUUUCGGAAUUAAAUUAAAUAAUUAUUUAUUUUCCGAAAAUUCAACUGAGAUGUCUCGGGACCGGAAUAUUAUGCCGAUGACCGUGGUGAAGUCCGUUUAUUUAAUCGGGCUUUAUUUUGAGCUGAAUCGGAUUUUUAAUAUUAAUUAUUUAAUUUUCGAAUUAAUUAAUUAAUUAAUUAAUUCCGAAAAUUUAAUUGAGAUGGUAGAUGACCGGAAUAUUAUGCUGAUGACCAUGGUGAAGUCCGUUUAUUUAAUUGGGCUUUAUUUUGUGUUAAAUUGAAUUUGUAAUAUUUGUUAAUUAAUUAUUUUUCGGAAAUUAAGAUUUUGAUGGCCGACGACAGAAAUCUCGUGCUGAUCAUCGUGGCGCAGUUCGUUUAUUUAUUUGAGCUCUACGUUGCAUGGAAUUAAAUAAAUUGUGAUGUUUUAAGGAUUUACCCUAAUUUGAUUGGAAUCGAUUGAGAUUGAAUUAUUGAUUGGUGAAUGGCCCAGUAUGUUUAUUCAGCAUUUAUAGUGCUUUGUUGAGUUGUAAAGUGAGUAGAAUGGUGAGAGUGAAUAAGAAGUACUCUGGGAUUGAACCAAUCAGACACGGUGUAUGGACCUACGUGGUUCGGUGAUUGGGACAUCACUGGCGAAAACGGCGCCUUAAAGAACGCACGUAUCGGUCUAGUACAUACAUUAUUGUGGACCUACGUGGUUCGGUGAUUAGGAUAUCACUGGCGAAAACGACGCCUUAAAGAACGCACGUAUCGGUCUAGUACUCAUAUUGUUAUAGGCAUGUAUGGUUCGGUGACUAAGGGUGUCACUGGCGAAAACGGCGCCUUAAAUAACGCAUACACUUGUCUAUUAAAUACAUUGUUAUAGGCAUGUGUGGUUCGGUGAUUAUGGAACUCACUGGCGAAAACGGCGCCUUAAAGAACGCACACAAUUGUCUAUUGAGUACAUGGUUAUAGGCAUGCGUGGUUCGGUGAUAAGGGCAUCACUGGCGAAAACGGCGCCUUAAAGAACGCACGCAAUUGUCUAUUGAUCAAAUCAUUGUAGGCAUGUGUGGUUCGGUGAUUUGGGAUAUCACUGGCGAAAACGGUGCCUUAAAGAACGCACACAGUUGUCUAGUGGAUACGUCACCUUGGCGAAGUUGACGCCCAAGAGCAUUGAUGUGGCUCUGUGACCGAGUACUCGAUGAAAGAAUAUAUGGUGUGGAAUCAAUGACCUAGAAUGGUCCGUCUGACAUGUAAUCGACUAGGUCGAUUGAUCCUUGCUUUAAUUUGAUGUUGUGAAUUGAUUGACUGAAUGGAAAUGACCGUGAGUGGUCUUGUUGGCAUAUAAUCGACUAGGUCGAUUUGAUCGAUGCUUCGAUCGCUGAUAUGAUUGCUUGGGUGCCUAUUAUGAAUUGUACUGACUUGCGGGUGGAAUCUGAGGCCAAGGUAAGUCUUCUGCCCUGUGCGUGUUUAGGCAGCCUGUAGUAUAAUGUGUUUAGGCAGCCUGUAGUAUAAUGGUUUACUAAUCGGGCUUAGUGGGGUAGAACUCGCUGAGACGUAGUCUCAUCCCAGUUUGGGGAAAACAUUUCAGGACCCCGAUGAGGAGCUGAUGAGGAGGAGUCUGAGAAUGAGAAUUCGGAGGUGAAACUUAAGGAGAAGGAUUUUCGGAAGAAGAAGAUAAUCCCGAGAGGGGCCUUAAGUACGGCCUGGAUGGAUUGAGAUCCUAUCUUCUUUUGAGAUCUUUAUUUUGAUGUGAAUAGAGUUUAAAGUAAAAAGUUGUGAAGUGCUCUGGUUUGUGGUUUGUAUAAAAGUUUGGUUAUAAGUUUCAAUAUGAAAAAUAUGGCCCUGCUUUUCUAUCCUAUUAUUUUAUUGUCU
This 2734-nucleotide long non-coding RNA is filed under the name Eucalyptus grandis. RNAcentral's name for it is "long non-coding RNA (EGRA_LNC007195)". Lineage: Eukaryota; Viridiplantae; Streptophyta; Magnoliopsida; Myrtales; Myrtaceae. The record is from RNAcentral.